Molecule: non-coding RNA, 73 nt
Organism: Solanum stenotomum
Lineage: Eukaryota; Viridiplantae; Streptophyta; Magnoliopsida; Solanales; Solanaceae
Source: the annotation of a RefSeq genome assembly
GCCCGUCUAGCUCCGUUGGUAGACCGCAAGGCUCUUAACCUUGUGGUUGUGGGUUUGAUCCCCACGGUGGGCA